Long non-coding RNA from Apus apus (common swift), 262 nucleotides. RefSeq lists it as uncharacterized. The record is from RefSeq and is a predicted model, not a curated record. Lineage: Eukaryota; Metazoa; Chordata; Aves; Apodiformes; Apodidae. The transcript is spliced from 3 exons.
GAGAGGCUUGAAAAUAGGCCUUUGUUUUACCACCUUAUUAUGUCAGUUAGUGGAACAGCACAAGCUUCUGAAAACAUGGUAUGCAGCUGGCCAUCAUGCUGGAGGGAGGAACUGUGUCAGAUUUUGAAGAACUUGGCACCCGAGUUCUGUGGAAGGAUAUUUAUUUCAAAUAUAAGGAUUACCUGAGGACGAAGUGCAACGUGGUACUCCCUCAUAAGCUCAGGAAAGGCUGGUGGAUCUGACAGCAUCAGAGGCUGUGCUC